Molecule: unclassified non-coding RNA, 561 nt
Filed under: Hevea brasiliensis (rubber tree)
Lineage: Eukaryota; Viridiplantae; Streptophyta; Magnoliopsida; Malpighiales; Euphorbiaceae
Source: RNAcentral
GGGCUUCAGACAAAGUAUGGAAAACUUUACAGAGCACACACGUAUAAUGUAAAAACAACGCAGCUAAUAGAUAAUUAUUUCUCUUUUUUUCAUCGUUCAACAAAAGGAACAAAGCAUUACAAAAAUCCAAAUGACAAACACAGUUGCAAAGUGAAGCCAAAUAAAUCAAUCACUGCUAAAAGCAGAUAUGAAAUACAAAAUAACUUUGUGAGACUAUCAACUCUAGAGCCACAUGUGAUUAUAAUGAAGUCACAAGACAUUACAAGCCUAGGAGACCUCUUUGCACAUCUCAACAUAAGCAUCGAAUUUUGAAUAGCCCUAUAAGUUAUAACACUACUGUUCAUGCUCUAAGGGCAACAUUUAAUCAAAGUCUGAGGAAUCCUAACUGCCACUUCAUUUCAGGAAGUAAUUCAUUAGUUCUUAAUGAACAGCAAACUUACAAAGAAAAAGAAAAGAUUAAUAUUAAUAAACAGAAUUUAGAUAUUUUUAUUUUUAUCAUUGUUAGAUGACAGGAAAAUAAGCGGAAGAGAAAACUCACGAUCAGAAUAAGGUGUGAUGCAA